This 67-nucleotide transfer RNA is filed under the name Marmota monax (woodchuck). Its description in RNAcentral is "tRNA.Ala". Lineage: Eukaryota; Metazoa; Chordata; Mammalia; Rodentia; Sciuridae. The record is from RNAcentral.
GGACGUGGCUCAAGUGGUAGUGCUCUCGCCUGGCAUGCAUGCGGCCUGGGUUCGGUCCUCAGCACCA